This 274-nucleotide ribosomal RNA is filed under the name uncultured bacterium. RNAcentral's name for it is "partial 16S ribosomal RNA". It matches the Rfam family "Bacterial small subunit ribosomal RNA", at positions 523 to 796 of the family's 1533-position model. The record is from RNAcentral.
AUACGGAGGGUGCAAGCGUUAUCCGGAAUCAUUGGGUUUAAAGGGUCCGUAGGCGGGCAAUUAAGUCAGAGGUGAAAUCCCACAGCUCAACUGUGGAACUGCCUUUGAUACUGGUUGUCUUGAAUUAUAGUGAAGUAGAUAGAAUGUGUAGUGUAGCGGUGAAAUGCAUAGAUAUUACACAGAAUACCGAUUGCGAAGGCAGUCUACUAACUAUAUUUUGACGCUGAUGGACGAAAGCGUGGGGAGCGAACAGGAUUAGAUACCCUAGUAGUCC